Molecule: transfer RNA, 40 nt
Filed under: Nephroselmis pyriformis
Lineage: Eukaryota; Viridiplantae; Chlorophyta; Nephroselmidophyceae; Nephroselmidales; Nephroselmidaceae
Description: partial Selenocysteine transfer RNA
Source: RNAcentral
GGCGUCGCGGGUGCACGCGCCGGGCUUCAAUUCCGGGAUG